GACGUAGGGUCCCAGCGUUGUCCGGAUUUACUGGGCGUAAAGAGCGCGUAGGCGGUCUGUUAAGUGUAGAGUGAAAUCUCCAGGGCUCAACCCGGAAACUGCUCUGCAUACUGGCAGACUUGAGGGAUGCAGAGGUUUGUGGAAUUCCUGGUGUAACGGUGAAAUGUGUUGAUAUCAGGAGGAACACCCAUGGCGAAGGCAGCAAACUGGGCAUCAUCUGACGCUGAGGCGCGAAAGCGUGGGUAGCAAACAGG
Molecule: ribosomal RNA, 254 nt
Filed under: uncultured bacterium
Lineage: Bacteria
Description: partial 16S ribosomal RNA
Rfam family: Bacterial small subunit ribosomal RNA
Source: RNAcentral